RNAcentral lists this ribosomal RNA (482 nucleotides) under uncultured bacterium. Its description in RNAcentral is "bacterial SSU rRNA". It matches the Rfam family "Bacterial small subunit ribosomal RNA", at positions 30 to 507 of the family's 1533-position model. The record is from RNAcentral.
AUUGAACGCUGGCGGAAUGCUUUACACAUGCAAGUCGAACGGUAGAGGGGGCAACCCCUUGAGAGUGGCGAACGGGUGAGUAAUAUAUCGGAACGUGCCCAGUCGUGGGGGAUAACGUAGCGAAAGUUACGCUAAUACCGCAUACGAUCUAAGGAUGAAAGCGGGGGACUCGCAAGAGCCUCGCGCGAUUGGAGCGGCCGAUAUCAGAUUAGGUAGUUGGUGGGGUAAAGGCUCACCAAGCCAACGAUCUGUAGCUGGUCUGAGAGGACGACCAGCCACACUGGAACUGAGACACGGUCCAGACUCCUACGGGAGGCAGCAGUGGGGAAUUUUGGACAAUGGACGCAAGUCUGAUCCAGCCAUUCCGCGUGCAGGAUGAAGGCCCUCGGGUUGUAAACUGCUUUUGUACGGAACGAAAAGGUUUCUCUUAAUACGAGGAGCUCAUGACGGUACCGUAAGAAUAAGCACUGGCUAACUACGUG